GGCUUCCGGGAGCUAACGCGUUAAGUCGGACCGCCCUGGGGAGCACGGGCCCGCAAGGUUAAAACUCAAAUGAAUUGACGGGGNCCCGCACAAGCGGUGGAGCAUGUGGUUUAAUUCGAUGCAACGCGAAGAACCUUACCUGGUCUUGACAUCCACGGAAGUUUUCAGAGAUGAGAAUGUGCCUUCGGGAACCGUGAGACAGGUGCUGCAUGGCUGUCGUCAGCUCGUGUUGUGAAAUGUUGGGUUAAGUCCCGCAACGAGCGCAACCCUUAUCCUUUGUUGCCAGCGGUCCGGCCGGGAACUCAAAGGAGACUGCCAGUGAUAAACUGGAGGAAGGUGGGGAUGACGUCAAGUCAUCAUGGCCCUUACGACCAGGGCUACACACGUGCUACAAUGGCGCAUACAAAGAGAAGCGACCUCGCGAGAGCAAGCGGACCUCAUAAAGUGCGUCGUAGUCCGGAUUGGAGUCUGCAACUCGANNNNANGAAGUCGGAAUCGCUAGUAAUCGUGGAUCAGAAUGCCACGGUGAAUACGUUCCCGGGCCUUGUACACACCGCCCGUCUCAC
RNAcentral lists this ribosomal RNA (566 nucleotides) under uncultured bacterium. Its description in RNAcentral is "bacterial SSU rRNA". It matches the Rfam family "Bacterial small subunit ribosomal RNA", at positions 840 to 1402 of the family's 1533-position model. The record is from RNAcentral.